AACAAAAUUCAAAGCUCCCCUUUUCUCUCAAAAGAAAAAGAAAGAACCCCUAUCCGGCCUAAGGUCCCGACCGAGGGCCACCGUGUCGGUCUUCGGCGCCGCCGUGUACGGUUGCCGGCAAAGGUAAAAAUGUUUUUUUUUAAUCCUAUUUUUGACCCUUUAACCCGAAUCUGGCCUUAAAGCACCCAAAAAAAUAAAAAAAACUAUCAGCCCUUUCAACGACGGGUUUCGUCACCAAUGGAGAAACCCUCCGACGACGAGGGCACGUAUCCACUCCGAUGUUAGAUGCGUGGAUGCAGGCGGCGGCAGAGGCUUGCGAGGCUACUGCAGCAAGGCGUGCCGCUAGGGUUCCAAGGCUUCUUUUUUUCUGCUGAAAUUGUUUAGGCUGUAGGCCUAUUAAUUGGGCUUCGGGUUUUUUACUAUUGGGUUGGAAUUUUGGUUUAAUUUUGUUAUAAUGGACUGUUUAAUUUUGGGCUUUUAUUUGGUUUUUUAUUAUUUGAUUCUUGGUCGCCUGGCAAAAACGGGUCAUUACAUCUAUUUUUAAAGACAUUAGAUUGUUUUUUUUGGAAUUUCUCUUAUCACUUGGAAAAAGUGAAACACCUUGCAAUACAUAGUUCCAUGCAGUGUAACAUUAUUGUCUCGUGUUGUUCUUCACUGAAAAACAAUGAUAUUUUUUGUAAAA
Gossypium raimondii (Peruvian cotton) is the source of this 682-nucleotide long non-coding RNA. RefSeq lists it as uncharacterized. Lineage: Eukaryota; Viridiplantae; Streptophyta; Magnoliopsida; Malvales; Malvaceae. The record is from RefSeq and is a predicted model, not a curated record. The transcript is spliced from 2 exons.